Molecule: ribosomal RNA, 485 nt
Filed under: uncultured bacterium
Lineage: Bacteria
Description: partial 16S ribosomal RNA
Rfam family: Bacterial small subunit ribosomal RNA
Source: RNAcentral
GAUGAACGCUAGCGACAGGCUUAACACAUGCAAGUCGAGGGGCAGCACAGGUAGCAAUACCGGGUGGCGACCGGCGCACGGGUGAGUAACGCGUAUGCAACUUACCUAUCAGAGGGGGAUAACCCGGCGAAAGUCGGGCUAAUACCGCAUGAAGCAGGGGUCCCGCAUGGGGAUAUUUGCUAAAGAUUCAUCGCUGAUAGAUAGGCAUGCGUUCCAUUAGGCAGUUGGCGGGGUAACGGCCCACCAAACCGACGAUGGAUAGGGGUUCUGAGAGGAAGGUCCCCCACAUUGGUACUGAGACACGGACCAAACUCCUACGGGAGGCAGCAGUGAGGAAUAUUGGUCAAUGGCCGAGAGGCUGAACCAGCCAAGUCGCGUGAGGGAUGAAGGUUCUAUGGAUCGUAAACCUCUUUUAUAAGGGAAUAAAGUGCGGGACGUGUCCCGUUUUGUAUGUACCUUAUGAAUAAGGAUCGGCUAACUCCGUG